GGCGGACGUAGCCAAGUGGAUUAAGGCAGUGGAUUGUGGAUCCUCCAUUCGCGGGUUCAAUUCGGG
Molecule: transfer RNA, 66 nt
Filed under: Syzygiella tonduzana
Lineage: Eukaryota; Viridiplantae; Streptophyta; Jungermanniopsida; Jungermanniales; Adelanthaceae
Description: partial tRNA-His
Source: RNAcentral